CCUUUCGAGAACCGCCGCGUGGCUGGAGUCAUGGCGGCCUCAGCGGUGUCCGAGAAAGGCCGGCAAACUCCUGCCUUUGGCGGCGGCCGUUGUGUGGCAUCUGCGGCAACGGUGAGACGCAGACCUGCAGGUUGAACCUUAAAAGUGACGAAUGGAGCCUUGAAAUUAAAAUGUUGGCUCUAGACUUGAAAAAAGACCCAUGAAAACCGUCAUCCGAAAACGGUGAGUGUAAGGAUCUUCGUGAUGAAAUCUUAUGUGUACAGUGUCAGCCUCAGUUUGAGGCCGAAAAGGAAGCUCCGGAAGAAGACGCUGGCAGCAGUACCCCGCUGGCUGCCCUGGACCCAAGGCAGAAUUUCCCUUGUGUCUGCAGUGUGAGGCAGAACGGUUUUGCCUGGAGCAAGUGAAACGAUUCCUCUCCUGCUGUUACUAGUAAGCUUUCUGUUUCCAUCUUACGUGUCCCGAAGCAGCCCCGAGCAGCCCCGCAAGCCUGUGAUGGCUGGUUAUCCCUGUCUGAAAGGCUCGACUGAGGGAGAAAAUCUGUUCUGAGGCUUCAGGGUUUGGCGCUGUGCUCUUAAUGGCAGUCGAGGCUUAAUAAGGGGUCAAGUCGAACGGAUUCCAGAGGGGAUUGCGCUUACCCUGCUGAGACCCUGGUCCUGGUGCACUGUCCCUCUGAACCUUAAAGACAAGUGCCGCCACUGCCCUGUCAGGCUCUAGGUCCCCCAGUUUAAUGGCUCAGAGGGCACAGGCUGUUAGGGGGGCAGAAAUGGGCAAGUGGCCUGGAUUUGGUUUAUGCUCUUGUUGUGGGAUGAAAAGAGUGCUUGUCACACAUUUCAAGAAAAUGAAUGGGCUCUUUGAAACAGCCAGGAAUGGCCGACGUAUGCCCACUGUGGCAGCGAGACUGCUCUGGCAUUCUGACCUCUUGCCCCCUCUACCACAUCCUGACCUUCAGAAAAGGAGGGGUACCAUGGCACUGGCAGAGCCCUUUGGCUUCCUGGGGCUUUGCCAACACCAGGGAGCUCUCCUGCUGUUGGCGCUCCCAGAGUGGCAUGACUGGCAAGGGGCGGCAGCUUGGGCAGCAGGGGGCUGGGUUGCCCAGUACGUGAGCGAGAGAGUAGCAGAGUGGUGCUGGGCUGGGAUGGUGUCUGGCCUUGUUUGCAUUUAAAUGCCAGGCUUGACGUGGACACAUUCUUUCUUUUCUGUUGAAAUUGGGGAGCGUGUGCAGCUCUUAUGUCCAAGGUCACAUAUUUGUUCGGUCAGUAAGGAAGCUACAUUUAGGGUGAGAUUUAAAGAGCCUGAAAACUGGACCCGUAGCUUAAGGCCUGAGGUAAACCAAAGUGCGAAAGGACGUGUGAGUAAGUGGGGACGUCUGCCUGCUGGGGUACGGCUGGCUGCGGAGGGGGCUUGACUGCUCUGUGGGACGCACGGGAACCUUAAGUCUCUCAUCCAGAGGGGGAUCGAUGUGACUGUCCCAGGACUUGAUGGCUAUCCUGUACUGGCCACUGGCCGGACUCUGCGCCCUCAGCCCUGAACCCCAGAAAGGAGCGCUGGACCUACAUGCCUGCACUGAAUCAGUCUGAUUGUGCCUUCCACACACACGCAGGCCUAAUGAUGGGUUGCUUGGAAUGAGUUCUGGGAUCGCCGUUCUCUAAAUUAGUUUUUUCUUUCAAGUUAACCUUCACUUUUGAGUCAACCUAGUUGGCUGUUGCAUCAAAUGAUUCUUCUUUGGUUUUACAGGUUAUCUCCCUGUGAUGCCAGACGGGAUCAGCACAGCCCCAGGAGCUAGUUGCUACUGCCUAUAAGAUACCCUCCCCCACCAAAGAGAAUCAUUUAAGGGUUUAGGAGUUGCUGUUGUGGCCCAGUGGGCUAAGAACCUGACAUAGUCUCUGUGAGGAUUCGAGUUUGAUCCCUGGCCUUGCUCAGUGGCUGGGCAUCCAGUGUUGCCCUCAUCUGUGGUGUAGGUUGUGGGUAAGGCUUGGGUCUGGCGUGGCUGUGGCUGUGGCGUGGGCUGGAGCCUCCAAUUCGACCCUUAGCCUGGGAGCUUCUGUGUGCCGUGGGUGCGACCCUAGACAGAACAUAAGAGUUACUUGAACUUCAUCUUUGGGAGUAGUCAGAGACAUUUUAUCUCGGAAGAUCUUGGGCAGUUAGUGAAAUUAGGUAGAACUAAGAACAUUCAGAACAACACGGUUUAGGUGUGUUGAGGUACAGCUCGCGGUGCUGGGACUGCAGCGGUGGUGAAGCGAAGGGAUUGUGAGAUCAACGUGUUGGGGGGGGGGGAGACUAAAGGGAAACAGGUGUUUAGCCGGAGAACGCGCUCCGUGGAUUUCCUAUCAAGUCAGUGGUCUUGGGUUUAACUUUGAAACAAAUAAAAAUUUU
This 2373-nucleotide long non-coding RNA is filed under the name Sus scrofa (pig). Its description in RNAcentral is "lncRNA (ENSSSCG00035057283.1)". The record is from RNAcentral. Lineage: Eukaryota; Metazoa; Chordata; Mammalia; Artiodactyla; Suidae.